AUUUAAAUAGUUUAAUAAAAAUAUUGAUUUGUGAUAUCAAAGAUAUUUAAAUAAAAUUUUAAAUA
Molecule: transfer RNA, 65 nt
Filed under: Rhizophagus aeneus
Lineage: Eukaryota; Metazoa; Arthropoda; Insecta; Coleoptera; Monotomidae
Description: tRNA-His
Source: RNAcentral